GCUUGCCCAGCUGAGGCAUUGGAGCAGGGCAUUUUGAUAGCGGCUGGAGGGCAGGCAGCUCAACCUCUAAACCCCCCUGGUCUGGGCACCAAGUCCUGUCCUGGGCACGGGACACAGUCCUCCAGCGAGACCAAACCCAGCUUCUCUGCAGCACCAGGAAGAAGGCAAGCCGGGCCACCAGGGCGCGGCCCCAGGAAGGAAAAUCCUCCAUGGUCCUGUUGACAGAUGUGGUAUCAAAUGAAUUGUUCUCUGCUUAGACACGACUUUGAUAUUUAUUGGUUCAAAUUGCUCGGCUGACUCAGUCUUGCGGACUCUGAUUACACUGCCUAUCCAAGAUCUGAGAUCAUCAACUCAUCUCAAAAUCCUUAAGCUGACCACAGCAGCAUCAUCCCUUUUGCAGUGUAAG
RNAcentral lists this long non-coding RNA (406 nucleotides) under Pan troglodytes (chimpanzee). RNAcentral describes it as "lincRNA". The record is from RNAcentral. Lineage: Eukaryota; Metazoa; Chordata; Mammalia; Primates; Hominidae.